UGUCCAGACUCCUACGGGAGGCAGCAGUGAGGAAUAUUGGUCAAUGGGCUUACGCCCGAACCAGCCAAGACGCGUGAGGGAAGACUGCCCUAUGGGUUGUAAACCUCUUUUGUCAGGGAGCAACGCCGGCUACGUGUAGCCGGACUGAGAGUACCUGAAGAAAAAGCAUCGGCUAACUCCGUGCCAGCAGCCGCGGUAAUACGGAGGAUGCGAGCGUUAUCCGGAUUUAUUGGGUUUAAAGGGUGCGUAGGCGGGUUAUCAAGUCAGCGGUAAAAUCGUGGAGCUCAACUCCAUCCAGCCGUUGAAACUGGCGCUCUUGAGUGGAAGAGAAGUAUGCGGAAUGCGUGGUGUAGCGGUGAAAUGCAUAGAUAUCACGCAGAACCCCGAUUGCGAAGGCAGCAUGCCGGCUUCCGACUGACGCUGAAGCACGAAAGCGUGGGGAUCGAACAGGAUUAGAUACCCUAGUAAC
RNAcentral lists this ribosomal RNA (469 nucleotides) under uncultured bacterium. Its description in RNAcentral is "bacterial SSU rRNA". It matches the Rfam family "Bacterial small subunit ribosomal RNA", at positions 328 to 795 of the family's 1533-position model. The record is from RNAcentral.